GGCGGGGUAGUGCAGUGGUCAGCACGGUUGGCUCAUAACCAACAGGUCGGGGGUUCAAAUCCUCCCCCCGCUA
This 73-nucleotide transfer RNA is filed under the name marine sediment metagenome. RNAcentral describes it as "tRNA-Met". It matches the Rfam family "tRNA". Rfam says of the family: Transfer RNA (tRNA) molecules are approximately 80 nucleotides in length. Their secondary structure includes four short double-helical elements and three loops (D, anti-codon, and T loops). The record is from RNAcentral.